GAAUGUGACGGUGACCUGGCUGUGACCCUGCCACCCCAUUGAUUGCCAGGGCCCAUUAGACUGAUGUGGUGGCCCGGUGUCUUCUUUCUUCCUCACCUCUGCAUACGUCAGUCUUCAAGUCUCGGCCUCAGACGACAGGAAUGACCUUCUUGAUAAAGGAGCGUUCAUUCUCGGUGAGCCCAGGCGGUGCAAACAUUGACUGCUCAGUGAGGCUUCAAGUUGGGGCUUUUUCUG
RNAcentral lists this small nuclear RNA (234 nucleotides) under Prolemur simus (greater bamboo lemur). RNAcentral describes it as "7SK RNA (ENSPSMG00000002000.1)". It matches the Rfam family "7SK RNA". Rfam says of the family: 7SK was discovered as an abundant small nuclear RNA in the mid-70s but a possible function has only recently been suggested. Two independent studies have found that 7SK RNA binds the CDK9/cyclin T complex (known as elongation factor P-TEFb). Lineage: Eukaryota; Metazoa; Chordata; Mammalia; Primates; Lemuridae. The record is from Rfam by way of RNAcentral.